Molecule: long non-coding RNA, 2109 nt
Filed under: Gossypium barbadense (sea-island cotton)
Lineage: Eukaryota; Viridiplantae; Streptophyta; Magnoliopsida; Malvales; Malvaceae
Description: long non-coding RNA (GBAR_LNC007333)
Source: RNAcentral
CACACACACACAAAGUAUUACAAUUUCUAAAACAAAAUUCAUCCCAGUGAGAAAAUAAUGCCAAAUCAUCGUCAACUCUCAUUAAUCAAAGGAAAAAGAUCAGAAAAGAGGAAGAAACAAUAUACAACAGACGGCUGGUUCAAGCUUAGAUGAAGCCAAAGUAUUGCAAUGCCUACGUAUAUAACUUAGUGAAGUACUUUGAUCUUGAUCUUGGUUAAGACUUGUUCCAACAAUAAAGAAAAUUGUUGAACGGAAUCUCGGUCACCUGAUUAAGCAAAACAAGGAAAUUAGCUAUACCAUUUACUAUAAUGAAAGUAAAAACAGUAAAAAGUAAACCAAUAAUAAAAAAACUGAUGCUAGGCUAAUCGUAAAUGCUAAUGUCGCUGUAAAUAAAUGACAGGCAUAAGUCCAAUUUCAUGUUGAUGGACUUGUAAAGGCAUCAAAAAGAAAAUAAGUAGCAUAAAUGAAAAAGACAUAAAGGGUCAAAUGAAGGUUAAAUGAGAUGUCAUGACGAACCUCACGUGUUUAAUGUCUAUCUCCUUUCUCGAUUUCAUGCGACUCAUAACAUGUUUCACUUUUUUUAUUAAGCUCACAAAUAUCACAAGUUUUUAGUUAUCAUAAUCUUAAUUUCUAUGUCCAAUAGCAUUGAUAAAGUAAUUAUUUAUCAUUCAAACAAAUUUGGUAUUAUCUUUAGUCACUUUGAAAUGUCUAAUCGUUGAAGAUGAGCGUAAAAUGCCAUAGUUGCUGAAAAACAAGCUCAUGCCAAAGUUCGAACUCUAUACCUCUAGCAUAUAGGGGAUCUUGAACCCAAAGUAUUGAAAAUGUCGAUCAAAAGGAAGAGGAGAUAAACUUGACGAUGAAACUCUAAUGGAAAGACGUUAAACUUUUGGAAGAAAAAAGCAAAAGAUGUUUAAGGGACUCAUGUCAAGAACUCAUGUCAAAAUAAAACUGGUAAUGGAUAAACUCGGGACUCAUCAAGAUAAAAAAUAAAAAAGAACCUACCUCGUGCUAUUGCAUCUUCUUUCCUUCUCAACUCCUGCAAAAUAUAAAGUUAACAUUCAGUUACUACAAGGACAAAUUAAUCUAAGAGCAAAAUGAAUAGCAAAAUCACCUUACAUACAACACAGUUACAUAUGCAUUCGAACAUAUAAGAACAAAUUACCUGUUCAUGUUUAUUCAGUUCAGCCUCUUUUUCUUUAAGUUCCUUCUCUCUUGCUUUUAGAUCAUAUAUAUUUUAAUCAUAUAUAAGACAAAAACAUCAAAAGAAGUCUAUGAUUUUAAUCAUAUAUAUUUUAAUCAUUUUGUGACCAAAGAAUGGAUGUUGGGUAGAAAAUAUAUAAGAAAAUGCAUUGAGAAUCAGACAAAUGUACUUCAAAGUUAACAUAUAAAAUUAACAUAGAAAAAAAAUUAACUUUUAUGAAUGAUAUAACAGCAUAAAAAAUAUCUUCUAUCAUAUAAAAAACCUCAAUUAUUGAUGGUUUUUUUACUUAAUAGUUUUAAUUAAUCAUGAGGUCUCAAAACAACCACAAUUGUUACUAACGCUAAAAACAAGAUAGUGGUUGUACCUUGUGAAAAAAAGCAAAUUAUUUCUCUUGUAAUUUAUAUGAAAAUUUAAACCAUUUAAACACGAAAUGCAAAGUACAAACACAGUUCCUGCUCAGAGGCCCCCCGGGUAAACAAUCAAUAAGUUUCUAAUUUCAACUUAACAUUUGCCCUUCCUCUUUUGGUUUAAAACUCAAAGUUUUUAUGAUUUUUUUUAUAUUUUUCUUGUCAAAUUUACUGUUAAUAUAAUAUUAUAUUUGAAGUUUGUAUAUGUCUCUUUCAAUAAUAUUACCUUCAAAAUUUAAACAUACAUUCUCUUUUUAAAAUGUAAUAUAAGUUAUCACUUCACUCAAUAUUAUUUCAUCUAUCAAUUCAAGUUUUUAUGACAUAGACAGAAUCAAACUAGAAAUCUUCUCAUAAAAUUAGCUACCUAUAAUUGUUUCAAAGCUACAGCUUAGGGUAAGUCAGUUUUCAUAUGACUAAAUAGUAAACAGUAACCAAUCUGAGUUAAAAAAGAAAAAGGGAAAAAUAAUAGAUAACCAGAUGAGAAGAUUUAUAUCUAUACAA